RNAcentral lists this ribosomal RNA (445 nucleotides) under uncultured bacterium. RNAcentral's name for it is "bacterial SSU rRNA". It matches the Rfam family "Bacterial small subunit ribosomal RNA", at positions 329 to 792 of the family's 1533-position model. The record is from RNAcentral.
GUCCAGACUCCUACGGGAGGCAGCAGUGGGGAAUAUUGCACAAUGGGGGAAACCCUGAUGCAGCAACGCCGCGUGGGUGAAGAAGUAUUUCGGUAUGUAAAGCCCUAUCAGCAGGGAAGAGAAUGACGGUACCUGACUAAGAAGCCCCGGCUAACUACGUGCCAGCAGCCGCGGUAAUACGUAGGGGGCAAGCGUUAUCCGGAUUUACUGGGUGCAAAGGGAGCGUAGACGGUUGUGCAAGUCUGAAGUGAAAGCCCGCGGCUCAACUGCGGGACUGCUUUGGAAACUGCCCGGCUAGAGUGCUGGAGAGGUGAGCGGAAUUCCUAGUGUAGCGGUGAAAUGCGUAGAUAUUAGGAGGAACACCAGUGGCGAAGGCGGCUUACUGGACAGUAACUGACGUUGAGGCUCGAAAGCGUGGGAGCAAACAGGAUUAGAUACCCUAGUA